UCCAGAAAGAACCAGAAUUACCCGAACUACAUAAGAAAAUAGACAUCUUAAUAAAUAAAGAAGUCCAACCAAAAAAUAACCUCGAAAUAGACGAACUUAUUAACCAAUUAAAACGAAUUGAAUUAACUCCUAAACAAGAACGAAAAAAUAUAAUAAGAAAACCACAAAAAUGGACUUUCUAUCAAAUAGACGGAGAACCAUCGAAAAUAAUGAAAGACAAGGAG
RNAcentral lists this long non-coding RNA (224 nucleotides) under Capsicum annuum. Its description in RNAcentral is "long non-coding RNA (CANN_LNC008735)". The record is from RNAcentral. Lineage: Eukaryota; Viridiplantae; Streptophyta; Magnoliopsida; Solanales; Solanaceae.